Molecule: long non-coding RNA, 993 nt
Filed under: Fragaria vesca (wild strawberry)
Lineage: Eukaryota; Viridiplantae; Streptophyta; Magnoliopsida; Rosales; Rosaceae
Description: long non-coding RNA (FVES_LNC005122)
Source: RNAcentral
AAAUGUAGACCUUGCAACUUUUACCUUCGGUUCAUUCAAUCUUAAGAACAAUUUUGAUUUCCAGAAAGUCUACUUUUCUUUGAUUUCGCUUAUGUUAAUGGUUGAUAUUUCUAAUGAAAAUAGUAGAUGUGUCUUAUGUUAAAUGUAGACUUUGCAUCUUUUAUCUUGGGUUGAUUCAAUCUCAAGAACAAUUUUGAUUUUCAACUUAUGUCUAUUUUUCUUUGAUUUCUCUUAUGUUACUAGUAGACAUUUCUUAUGAAAAAAGUAAUUGUGUCUUAUGUUAAAUGUAGACUUUGCAUCUUUUACCUUGGGUUGCUUCAAUCUCAAGAACAAUUUUGAUUUCCAGAAAGUCUACUUUUCUCUGAUUUCUCUUAUGUUACUAGUAGACAGUUCUUUUGAAAAAAGUAGUUGUGUCUUAUGGUAAAUGUAGACUUUAUAUCUUUUACCUUGGGUUGUUUUAAUCUUAAGAACAAUUUUGAUUUCCAAAAAAUCUACUUUUCUUUGAUUUCGUUUAUGUUAAUGAUAGAGAUUUCUAAUGAAAAUAAUAGAUGUCACUACCAGGACAAGCACUUUAGCCGACGAAAAAUUUUCGUCGGCCUGUUAGCUUAAUUCGUCGGCUAAGAUCUUAGCCGACGAGCCAUCGUCGGCUAAGAUUUCGUCGGGAAAAGGUCGUCUGUGAUGAGUUUAGCCGACGAAAUUUUUUUUUAGUCGGCUAAAGUCCCGCGUUUAGCCGACUAAAAACAUGUCGUCGGUUUUUUUCCCCAGACUAUAGCCGAUGAAAUAUAAUCUAUUUCGUCGGCUAAACCUUAUAAAAAAUUUUAAAAAAAUAACUAUAGCCAAAGAAAUAUAGUCUGUUUCGUCGGCUAAACUUUAUAAAAAAAUUUUAAAAAUAACUAUAGCCGACGAAAUAUGCCAUAAUUCGUCGGCUAAACCUUAUAAAAAAAUUUAAAAAUACUAUAGCCGACGAAUAAACCUUUAAAUAUCGUCGGCUAA